UACGGGGGGGGCAAGCGUUGUUCGGAAUUACUGGGCGUAAAGGGCUCGUAGACGGCCAACUAAGUCGGACGUGAAAUCCCUCAGCUUAACUGGGGAACUGCGUCCGAUACUGGAUGGCUUGGAUUUGGGAGAGGGAUGCGGAAUUCCAGGUGUAGCGGUGAAAUGCGUAGAUAUCUGGAGGAACACCGGUGGCGAAGGCGGCAUCCUGGACCAAUAUUGACGCUGAGGAGCGAAAGCUAGGGGAGCAAACGGG
RNAcentral lists this ribosomal RNA (253 nucleotides) under uncultured bacterium. RNAcentral's name for it is "partial 16S ribosomal RNA". It matches the Rfam family "Bacterial small subunit ribosomal RNA", at positions 524 to 776 of the family's 1533-position model. The record is from RNAcentral.